GAAUAGCUCAGCUGGUAGAGCAUCACGUUGCCAACGUGAAUGUCGCGAGUUCGAAUCUCGUUUC
RNAcentral lists this transfer RNA (64 nucleotides) under Gammaproteobacteria bacterium. RNAcentral describes it as "tRNA-Gly". It matches the Rfam family "tRNA", at positions 5 to 66 of the family's 71-position model. From Rfam's summary of the family: Transfer RNA (tRNA) molecules are approximately 80 nucleotides in length. Their secondary structure includes four short double-helical elements and three loops (D, anti-codon, and T loops). Further hydrogen bonds mediate the characteristic L-shaped molecular structure. tRNAs have two regions of fundamental functional importance: the anti-codon, which is responsible for specific mRNA codon recognition, and the 3' end, to which the tRNAs corresponding amino acid is attached (by aminoacyl-tRNA synthetases). tRNAs cope with the degeneracy of the genetic code in two manners: having more than one tRNA (with a specific anti-codon) for a particular amino acid; and 'wobble' base-pairing, i.e. permitting non-standard base-pairing at the 3rd anti-codon position. Lineage: Bacteria; Pseudomonadati; Pseudomonadota; Gammaproteobacteria. The record is from RNAcentral.